Molecule: long non-coding RNA, 31650 nt
Filed under: Gossypium barbadense (sea-island cotton)
Lineage: Eukaryota; Viridiplantae; Streptophyta; Magnoliopsida; Malvales; Malvaceae
Description: long non-coding RNA (GBAR_LNC011831)
Source: RNAcentral
AUAAAUAAGGAAUAAAAGUAAAAAAAAAAACCCUUCAACAACAUUUUCCUUUCAUUUUCCUUAAAAACCAUUUGAAAAGCUCUCCAAAUUCUCUUGCCCCAUCCAAUUCUUCAGCAACCGGACCAGAGCUUCGUCCCCGUCCGUCGUUUUGCCGUCGUCGUUGGCCAUCACGUGCAGUGGCCGAAGUUAAAAAAGUAAGUUUUUUUUUUGUAUUUUUAUUCUUUUUAACAGAUAUACAUAGUAAAGAGUGGUCAAAUCCAAAAAAGAAACGAAAAAAAAGAAGAAAAAAGAAAAGAAUCAAAACAACAACCUUGGUAACUUUCGAUUCUACAAAAUUGCCUUGUAUGUUUGCUGUCUUCCCGAUUUGUGUGACCGUCUGAGUUCGAUCUCUGCUUUUAUUUCUUUUGGGUAUUUAAAAUCUUGGUAUUUGGUGUUAAAUCUUGUGUUUGUAUUGAAUCCAUCUUUUUUUUUUUGCCUUGUUACAAUCUUUGGCUUUUAUAGCCUUUAUUUUUACAGGUACAAAAAUGAAAUUAUGGCGAACGUGGAGCCAUUGGAGCUGACAUGGGUGAAAGGCGACGUGGGGGAAACCGACGUGGGCGUGCGAACUUGGAGGACGUGCGUGGGAAGGCUUACGGCGGCUGCAACAGAAAAGGGUGUUAGGGUUUUUCUUUUCUUUUUGAUUUAGGGUUAAAUAUUUAGGUCUGGUUAAUUUAAGGCUUGGGUAAUUUGGGCUUCAAAAUUGGGUUAAUUUUAUUUUGUUUUUGAUUUGAUUUUUGGUCUAUUUUUGGUCUUUGGGGUUUCUUUUUGGUUUAAAAAUUUAGGCUUUAAUGGUAAAUAGGCCUGGGCAAAAAUUUGUAACGCCCCCUUACCCGAGACCGUCGCCGGAGUCGAGCACGAGGCAUUACUAAACUUAUUUGAGCACUUAAACAAAUUCGGACAAGCUGUCCAACUGCGUCAUAGUUGCUUAAAAAUUCAUAUCUCGAGUUUCGAAACUCGAAAUCAAAUUCUGUAAAAUUUUCAUUAAACUAAACUCAUAUAUAUAUCUACUAAUUUUUUUCUAGAAUUUUUGGUUGGGCCAAUUAGUACAGUUUAUUAGUUAAAGUCUCCCCUGUUUUAGGGUUUGACUGCUCUGACCUCUGUGUAUUACGAAUCAGAUAUCUCCCUGUACAGAGUUUCAAUGACUAUGCCAUUUGUUUAUAAUAAAACUAAACUCAAUAAGGAAUCUGUAAAUAUAAAUAAUAACUUCUAAUUAUCUUUGUACAAUUUAUGGUGAAUUUCCAAAGUCAGAACAGGGGAUCUAGAAAUCGCUCUGGCCCUGUUUCACAAAAAUUUAAACUUCUCAUAAAAUAUAACUCAUAUACCUGUUUUGUUCCAUCCAUAUGAAAAUAGACUAAUAAUUAUUCAAUUCCAUAUUUUAUUCAUCAUCUAAUUGUAUCUCUACUAUUUUUAAUGAUUUUUCAAACUCACAUCACUGCUGCUGUCUGAAUCUAUUUUAUGGUAAAUUUUGCCUAUUUCAUGAUUUCCAUGGAUUAGCUAGCAAUUUAGCAUACAUAACACCAAAUAUGAUCAUGAUUAGCCAUUCCAAUGGCUAAUCAUUACCAAGCAUUUCCAUACCACUCAAUAUCUAUAUCAUAAGACCAUAUAUACAAAAUGAUUAUAAUGCUAUACAUGCCAUACUCAAAAUAUACAAGCCAUUAUGCCAAGAUGGUAUACGGAUGUGUGAGUGGGCCUCCGACCGUUCCCGAUUUCCGAGCUGGCUUGUCAAAACUACAAGGAAUGAAAAGGAGGGAGUAAGCAUAAAUGCUUAGUAAGUACAUAUGAAAUUAAUAAGCAAUUACCAACAUGCUUUUAAGAUAAAACACCACAAUUGUACAAUUAUACAUACUCAGCUUAAACUGUUUUAUCAAGAUACAUUUAAUAAAUAAUUUAUUUCUGGAGCUACGAAACUCCAAUUUAAGUUCUGUUAAUUUUUCUUGAAACUAGAUUCAUAUACCUUUCUCCCAUAAAAUUUCCAGAAUUUUUGGUUUAACCAUUUAGUACAGUUUAUUCAUUAAAGUUUUUCCUGUUUCGCUGUCCAACAGUUCUGAUAUCUCUUCACUAAAAAUUAUUUAUCUCAUAAUUCGGGACUUGGAUGAUGUUCCCGUCUAUCCCUCUUGAAAAUAGUCUCGAUAAGGAUUUUAAAUAUAUAAAUUAAAACUCAUAAUUAUUUUUUUACAAUUUCUAAUGAUUUUCUAAAAUCAGAACAGGGGAUCUCGAAGUCAUUCAAACUCUAUCUCACAACAAUUUAAAUAUCUUAUAACAUAAAAUCCAAUUGCAUGGACCGUUUCCUCUAUAUGAAACUAGACUCAUCAGGCUUUAAUCUCAUAUUUUAUUCAGCCCUUAACUCAAUUUCCACAAUUUAUGGUGAAUUUCAAAAGAUACACUACUGCAGUAACCCAAAACUGCCAAGGCCAUAUUUAUUCAUUCACCACUAUUAUUCACUAAAUCCAUACAAUAUCAUUUCAUCCAUCAUGGUAAGAACACAUAAUUAUGCUUCAUAAGCAUAGAUCCAUAAUCUCAAUGUCAUCAAGUAUCAAGAACUUAUUCCAAAUCGUGUCAUUUUCAUAGUAUUCACCAAUUCUUAAUCUUUUCGGCCCAUUUUACAUUUUCGUUCAUAAUCAAAUUAAGGAACGAUUACGGAAUUGAGUACCUCAUUAUCACAAUGCCAUAGUAAAACUAUGGUCUUGCACAUAGUCACAUAUCACAUACCGAGGCCAUAGCCCAGCCAUGGUCUUACACGGAUCACAUAUCACACUGAUGCCAUAUCCCAGAUAUGGUCUUAUACAGUAGCACAUAUCACACCGAUGCCAUAUCCCGGAUAUGGUCUUAUACUGAAGCACAUAUCACAUUUCUCCGAAGCCAUAGCCCAGCUAUGGUCUUAUACGGAAAUCACAUUUCACAUGCUGCCAUGGUCCAACCAUGGUCUUUUCCGUCAAUUCGUCUUAGCCACUGAAUGAAAGUACUCAAAUCCGUUGUUCCAUUUAAUUUGUACUUUUAUUCAAAUAUCAUUUUACAAUUAUCACAGUUUAAUGACAUUUUAUAUGCAAUAAUAUACUAUAUCAUUCAUGAAAUUUUCAUUUCAAAACAUUAAAUUACACAUUGCAUUAUUAAAAAUCAUAUGAACUUACCUCGAUAUAAAAUAUUAGCAAUCGAGCCUAUUCCUCGUAAACUUUAUUUUUCCCUCGAUCACGACUUGAAUCUCGUUUCUCUUGAUCUAUAAUAUAAAUUAUUUCUACUCAUUAGCAUUUAUUUGAUUUCUAUUUCACUUCACAAUUUAUGCUGUUUAAAUUUUGAAAUUGCACUUUUACCCCAAAAUUUAUAGUUUUUACAAUUUAGUCCCUACUCAAUUCACCCAUAAAUUGAACUAAUUUUUCUCAAUUAACACUUUAUUUUAUCAUUAUAAACUAUUUCACAACCUUUUAUAUUCUGAAUUUCAACACCAACAUCUAAUUCACAAUUUUUUUCACAAUUAGGUCCUAAAUACCAUUUUCUAUCAAAAUGACUUAAUAAAACAACCUUAAUAUGAAAUUAGAACUUCAAUUUCAUAAUAAUUCAUCAUAAACUGCCCUUACUCAGCCAGGGGAACUUCCAAUUUCAUCCACCAAAUCAAAAACUAAUGAAUUAGAUGAUUGAACCUAAUUGUAAAAGUUACAAAAACAUAAAAAUUACUAAGAAAAAGUAAAAAUUGAACUUACAUGGUGCAAAAAUAUGAAAAACCAGCAUAGGAGACCUGCUACGGCGUUUCUGGCUGAGAAAGAUGAAGAAAUGUCUAGAUUUUUUAGUUACAUCAUUAUUUAAUUACUAACUUUUAUGCUAUUUCUAAUUUUGCCCCUUGUUCACAUUGUUUUCUUGCUUAUUUCAUACCCAAACCGUCCAGCCAUUAACCUUUGGGUCUAAUUGCUCUUUAAAUCCAUAUUUUUAAAUACUUAAGCUAUUUACUCACAAUUUAACAAAUUUUGCGCUAUUUUCAAUUUAGUCCUUUUCACCUAAUUAAUUACCGAAACCUUAAAAUUUCUUGACGAAACUUGAAUACUAACUUAUUUACACUCCAUAAAUAUUUCUAAAAAUAUUUAUGGCUCGGUUUAUGAAUUUGAGGUCUCGAUACCUCGUUUUUAUUCCGUUUUAUCUACAACUUCCUAUACUACAUAAUUUCAUUUAAUAUCCAAAUGACCAAAAUGCCCUUACUACUAAACUUUCCAAAAAUUUUCCAUCCAUGUCCAAUUUUUGUCCAUAUACUUACAAAUUGGUCAAAUUGCUCUGUAAGGACCUCUAAUUAAUAAUAUAAUUCAAUUUUAUGCAAAAUGCUUCUAGAACACAAGUUUUGCAAUUUAUUCAAUUUAGUCCCUAAUUUCAAAUUAAGCACUUUAUGCAUAGAAUUUCUUCACGAAAUUUUCACACAAUCAUGCAAUCAUAUCAUAGACCUCAAAAUAAUUAUAUAAAAAAAAUUCUUUCUAUCUCAGAUUUGUGGUCUCGAAACCACUAUUCCGACUAGGCCCAAAAUCAGGAUAUUACAAAAUUCGUACCCACAGCUGCCCCUCUUUGCUCGUUGUUUGUGUAACGAGAACGAAGCAAAGACAUUAAAGAGCCAAUUUUGCCCGGUCUUGCUGAUUCCUGACUCCUUGUUGUUCAUCUUGCUCAAGUAGCCAUAUUCCAUCCCACUGCAUCUUCAGGGGUAUAGGAAUUAACAUUUUCGAUCUACUCCAAUAAGUUUCAGAGAGAAGAGAUUUGUAGCUUCACUCUACUCUACUGACACAUGAAGAAGAUAAUAACUGGUCACUUCAACCUGUUCCACUACUGCUUAGGGACACAAGGUUUGUAUCUUCAACUUGCUCUCUGCAACUUCAGAGAGAUAAGGUUUGCUAUCUUCGAUCUGCUCCACUACUGCUUAGGGAGAUAAGAUCUUGUAAUCCUCCAGCCUUUUACCCUACUGCUUAGGGAGUUAAAGCCUGCUUAUUAUCUUCGAUCUGCUCCACUGCUGCUUAGGGAGAUAAGAUCUGUAAUCUUCAGCUUGCUCCACUGCUGCUCAGGGAGAUAAAGCUUUCCAUUUUCGAUCCGCUCCAUUAUUGCUUAGGGAAAUAGGAUCUGUUUUCAGUCAGUUACCCUAUUGCUUAGGGGUUAAGACUCACCAUCUUUGAUCUGCUCCACUAUUGCUUAGGGAGAUAAAGAUCUGUCAUUUUCUCGCAUAUUACCCUACUACUUAGGGGGUUAAGGCUCAUCGUCUUCGAUCUGCUCCACUACUGCUUAGGGAGAUAAGAUCUGUAAUUCUCGAUCCACUCCACUAUUGCUUAGGGAGAUAGGAUCUGCCGAUAUUUAAUAUGUUCCACUCCUGCCAACGGGAUAAGAUCUGCUAAAAUUUGAUCUGCUCCGCUCCUACUCAACGAAGAUAAGAUCUACCGAAAUUUGAUCUUGUAACGGCCUAAUUUUCAGUGGUGUCGGAAAUGGUGAUUUGAGAUCACUAAAUUCGACAAAUAAGAUUGAACAAGAUAGUAAUUUAAUAUUUAUGAGUCAAGUAAGAAUUUAGAAGAAUUUGUGAAAUGGUGAAAUUAGUGAAUUAAAAGAAUUUAUUAGGUCAAACGGGUCAAAAAUGAGGUAUCGAGACCUCAAAGUUGAAAAUCGAGCUAUAAAUAUUUUUAUAAAUAUUUAUGGAGUGUCAUUGAGUUAGUAUUAAAGUUCCGUUAGAAAAUUUUAACGUUUGGAUGGCUAAUUAAUUAAAAAGGACUAAAUUGAAAAUAGCGCAAAAUUUGUUAAAUUGUGAGUAAAUAGCUUAAGUAUUUAAAAAGAUGGAUUUAAAGAGCAAUUAGACCCAAAGGUUAAUGGCUGGACGGUUUGGGUAUGAAAUAAGCAAUAAAACAAUGUGAACAAGGGGCAAAAUUGGAAAUAGCAUAAAAGUUAAUAGUUAAAUAAUGAUGUAAUUGAAAAAUCUAGACAUUUCUUCAUAUUUUCUCAGCCAAAACGCCAUAGAAGGUCUGGAGAAAGCUGGUUUUUCAUAUUUUUACAUCAUGUGAGUUUAAUUCUUACUUUUCUUGAUAAUUUUUAUGUUUUUAUGACUUUUACAAUUAGGUCCACUUGUAGAAUUCAUUAGUUUUUGAUUUUAUGGGUGAAAUUGGAAGUUACCCUGGAUGGAUAAGGGAAUUUUAUGAUGAAUUAUUAUGAAAUUUAAGUUCUAAUUUCAUCUUAAGGUGAUUUUAUUAAGUGAUUUUGAUAGGAAAUGAUAUUUAGGACCUAAUUGUGAAAAAGUUUUGAAUUGAAGGUUUCUGUUGAAAUUAAGAAUAUAAAAGGUUUUGAAAUAGUUUAUAAUGAUAAAAUAAAGUGUUAAUUGAGAAAAAUUAGUUCAAUUGAUGGGUGAAUUGAGCAGUGACUAAAUUGUGAAAAUUGUAAAUUUUGGGGUAAAAGUGAAAUUUCAAAAUUUGAACAGCAUAAAUUGUGAAGUGAAAUAGAAUUGAAAUGGAUGCUAAUGAAGGAAUGAUUUUAUAAUUAUAGAUCAAGAAAACGAACUGAAUCGUGGAAAGAAGAAAAUUCAAGAAUAAUCCCUGAAUUUCUACGACUUUUGCAAAUUAGUCCAGGUAAGUUCAUAUGGCAAAGUUCAAUGUUUUGAUAUGAAAAUCUUAUGAUUGUUAAAGUAUUUUAUUGUUGAUGAAUACUAUCAAUUUGCAUUAACUAAUGAAUAAUGUGUAACUAAAAGUACAAAUUAGUAGGAACAAUGGAUUUGAGUGCUUCUAUUCUGUGACCCUGAUGAAUUGACGAAAAAUAUGUGAUAAGUGUGCCCGUUUAAGACCAUAGCUGGGCUAUGGCAUCGGUGCAAUGUGAUAAUGUGACUCCGUAUAAGACCAUAGCUGGGCUAUGGCAUCGGUAUAAUGUGAUAAUGUGAUUCCGUAUAAGACUAUGUCUGGGAUAUGGCUUCGGUAUGAUAUGUGAACCGUGUAAGACUAUGGCAAGGCUAUGGCUUCGGUUUGUGAUGCGUAACAAUGUGAAAGUCCAUAGUUUACUAUGGAAAUGUGAUAAUGAAGCACUCAAUUCCCUUAUUGUUCCCUAAUUUGACAAUGAAGUAAAUGAGAAAUGGGCCUAAGGGAGUUAAAUUGUGAGUAGCCAUAUGGAAAUUAUUCCAAUGAGUUAUUAAUGAAAUUGUGAUUUGGAGGAUGAAAUAGUUAAACUAAUAGAUAUAUGAUUGUAUACGAUAUUUGAUAUGAUUUGUAUUUAUAUGCCUAUGAGCUUACUAAGCUUCAAUAAGCUUACUUGUGUGUGUUUAAUAUUUUUAUGUAGAUUGACUUGAAGUGAAGUGGGUAGAUCGGAUCAACACAACAGGCCACACUAUUCAGAUCAAUUCUGGUAGUUUUUGUUUUAUGUUUAAAGAUUUAUAUGGCAUGUAUAGAGUUUGAAUGAAUUGAAGUAAAGAUGUUAUGAACUAGUUAACAAUAUUUGUACUAAAACAGUUUUUGGUAAGUAGCAGUAGUUUGACUUUGAAAAUUCACCAUAAAUUGUGGAAAUUGAGUUAAGGGCUGGAAAAAAAAUGAGAUUAAAUCCUAACGAGUCUAGUUUCAUAUAGAGGAAACGGUGCAUGCAAUUGGAUUUUAUGUUAUGAGAUAUUUAAAUUGUAGUGAGACAGAGUCUGAAUGACUUCGAGUUCCCCUGUUUUGAUUUUAGAAAAUCAUUAAAAAUUGUAAAAAAAUAAUUAUGAGUCAUACUGUAUAUGUAUGGAUUCCUCAUUGGGUCUAUUUUUAAGAGAAACAAACGGCAUGGUUAUUUGAUUUUUGUACAGAGAGAAAUUUGGUUCGUAGUGCACAGGGGUCAAAGUAGCCAAACCCUAAAAUAGGGGAGGAUUUAACUAAUAAACUGUACUAAUUGGACCAACCAAAAAUUAUAAAAAAAUUGGUAAGUAGAUAUAUGAGUAUAAAUUCGGGGAAAAUUUACGGAUUUUGGUUUCGAGUUUUAUAACUCAAGAUAUGAAUUAUUUAGCAACUAUGACGCAGUUGGACAGCUUGUCUGAAAAGUAUGAUAUAAAUUAUCUAAAUUUGGUUAAGUGCUCAAAUAAGUUUAGUAGUGCCUUGUGCUGGACUCCGGAAACGGUCUCGGGUAAGGGGCGUUACAUUUAUUGGUAUCAGAGCUUCGGUUUAGCCGAUUCUCGGAAUAUGUAUGAUGUGAAAAGUGUCUAGAAUUACAUGCCAUAUAAAUCUGUGAUAGUGUGCUGUGUAUGAUCCGAUCUAAUCGUUGUUUUUAUUAUAGAUUAUCUUCGAUUUGAAAAGAUGUCAGAUAGACCAGAACAAACUGAGCAAGAAGAAGUUAAUAGCAGAGUACAAACCUCUGAACAAGGAACAAGUAGUGAAGCUCCGAUUUCAUUAAUGCGAGAACAAGAACUCAAAAAUAUGAUUUAUGGAUUCAUGAAUCAGUGGUAUAAUGAGAAUGUGCGAGAAAGAAAUCAGACUACACAACCUCCUCCCCCUAUCUUAACAUCUGUAGUACCCCCGGUUGCUCCUCCACCUCCUCCGACAACUGAAUCUGGCAAACGUUCUCCAUUUGAAAAGCUUAGAAAACAUGGGGCUGAAGAAUUUCGGGGAAGAACAGAUGAUGACCCCGUUAAAACUGAAUAUUGGUUACAAAGUAUAAUGAGGGUUUUUAAGCAAAUGGCGUGCUCACCAGAUGAUUACUUAAUAUGUGCCGUGUCAUUAUUGAAAGAAGAAGCUUAUAACUGGUGGGAAACAAUAGAAGCUAUUGUACCGGCUAAGAAGAUCACUUGGGAAUUUUUUCAAAAUGAAUUUAAGAAGAAAUAUGUCGGUAGAAGAUAUCUGGAUAAGAAGAAAAGAGAAUUUCUUGACUUGCGACAGGGAAACAAGUCAGUGGCUGAAUAUGAAAGAGAAUUUGUUUAUCUGAGCAAAUAUGCUCGAGAUAUAGUACCCACAGAAGAAGAAAUGUGUAUCAGAUUUGAAGAAGGGCUUAAUGAUGAGAUUAAAAUGAUGAUAGGGAGCAUUGAGAUACGAGAAUUUGUUGUUCUAUCAGAUCGUGCUCAGAAGUUUGAAGAAGUAUAUAAUAAAAAGAUGCAACGAGAUAGAAGAAGUAAAGAAUCUUUCAAGAGAAGUGCAUCUAAGUCAUUUUCGGCUUUACCAGUGAAGAAAUCUAAAGAGGAAUUCAGUCGAGCCACUUCAGUACCGGAAAGAUCAGGAAAAAGUAGGCCAAGACAAUCUGAUUACAAAGCAUCUGACAGACCUGCUGUUAGUGUGGGUAGUGUACAAAAUACCCAAAGGCCUAAGUGCCAACAUUGUGGAAGAAGUCACCCCGGUGAAUGUAGAAGUAAGUUAGGGGCUUGUUAUAAAUGUGGGGCCACUGAUCACUUUAUUCGUGAUUGUCCCCAAUUACAAGUAGAAGAAGUGGAACAGAGGGAGAAACAUAAAAUUCUUCCUCAAAAAGGAAGACGCUCUGGUCAGAGCAGUGCUACAGGGGCUACUCGUUCGGGUAUGAAAGAUACUGCUAGCCGAUCAGAAGUUAGGGCUCCUGCUCGUACUUAUGCCAUUCGAGCGAGAGAAGAAGCAACAGCUCCAGAUGUAAUUGCUGGUACUUUCUAUCUUUAUGAUGUUCCUGUGUAUGCUUUAAUAGACCCUGGGUUUACUCAUUCAUAUAUUUGCACUAUGUUAGCAUCUGAAAAGAAAUUAUUUGUUGAGCCUACUGAUUAUGAUGUACAAGUUACAAAUCUGUUAGGUCAAAGUGUGGUAGUUAAUUUAAUAUGUCAUAACUGUCCACUGAAAGUUAAGGGCUGUGAUUUCCCCGCUGAUUUGAUGUUGCUACCCUUUCGUGAAUUUGAUAUUAUCUUGGGCAUGGACUGGUUAAUGAAACAUGACGCGGUAGUGAAUUGUCGAGAAAAACGAAUUAGCUUGAAAUGUCAAACAGGAGAUAUUGUUUUGGUUGAGUCUGGGAAUUUGGAUGACAUGGUUAGAAUGAUUUCCUUUAUGUCUGCUCAAAAAUUGUUGCGUAAAGGAAAUGAGGCUUAUUUAGCCUAUAUUCUUGAUACUCGAAGUUCUAAAUCAAAGUUAGAGCAACUAUCUGUUGUAAAUGAAUUCAUGGAUGUAUUUCCUGAAGAAUUACCAGGUUUACCACCCAAUAGAGAAGUUGAGUUCGUGAUAGAUGUGCUUCCAGGAACAGCUCCCAUAUCAGUGACACCGUAUAGAAUGGCUCCAGCAGAAUUAAGAGAGUUAAAAGCGCAGUUGCAAGAACUGUUAGACAAAGGGUUUAUCAAAUCGAGUAUGUCACCAUGGGGUGCACCUGUCUUAUUUGUGAAAAAGAAGGAUGGUUCAUUGAGGCUGUGCAUAGAUUACAGGCAGCUGAAUAAGGUAACAAUUAAAAAUAAAUAUCCUUUGCCUCGUAUUGAUGAUUUAUUCGAUCAGCUUAAGGAUGCUACAAUGUUUUCAAAAAUAGAUCUCAGAUCUGGGUAUUAUCAGUUAAAGGUAAAGGAAUGUGAUGUACCGAAAACAGCUUUUAGAACUCGGUAUGGUCAUUAUGAGUUCUUAGUUAUGCCAUUCGGUUUGACAAAUGCUCCUGUUGCUUUUAUGGAUUUAAUGAAUCGAAUUUUCCAGUCUUACCUGGAUAGAUUUGUGGUUGUGUUUAUUGACGAUAUACUGAUCUAUUCAAAGACAGAAUCCGAGCAUACUCAGCACUUGAGAAUUGUACUACAGAUAUUAAGGGAAAAACAGUUAUAUGCAAAAUUUAGUAAAUGUGAAUUUUGGCUUCAUAAAGUGGGAUUCUUGGGUCACAUUGUGUCAGUUGAUGGUAUACGGGUAGAUCCGAGUAAGGUGUCAGCGGUGAUUAAUUGGAAAACUCCAAAGAAUGUUACGGAAGUGCGAAGUUUUCUUGGAUUAGCUGGUUACUAUCGUCGAUUUGUGAAAGAUUUUUCACUGAUUGCUUCACCGAUAACUAAAUUAUUACAGAAGAAUGUUGAGUUUGUAUGGUCUGAUGAGUGCCAACAAAGUUUUGAUCAAUUAAAGAAAAUGUUGACAGAGGCUCCGGUGUUAACUCAGCCUGAAUCAGGUGUGCCAUAUGUAGUAUAUAGUGAUGCGUCUCUGAAUGGUUUAGGUUGUGUAUUGAUGCAGUCAGGAAAAGUUGUAGCAUAUGCUUCUCGACAGUUGAAACCACAUGAGAGGAACUACCCUACACAUGAUCUUGAAUUAGCUGCCAUAGUAUUUGCUUUAAAAAUUUGGAGACACUACCUAUAUGGAGAGAAAUGUUAUAUGUAUACAGACCAUAAAAGUUUGAAAUAUUUAAUGUCGCAGAAAGAGCUGAAUUUGAGACAGAGGCGAUGGUUAGAGCUGUUGAAAGAUUACGAUCUUAUCAUUGAUUAUCAUCCGGGUAAGGCAAAUGUAGUGGCAGAUGCACUUAGUUGGAAAUCAUCAUUAUUUGCUCUUCGAGCGUUAAAUGCUCAUUUGUCUGUUAAUGAAAAUGGUUCUAUAUUAGCUGAAUUAAAGACAAAACCAAUAUUCUUUCAACGAAUUGAAUUGCAAGAUGAAGAUCCGAAGUUGGUGUUGAAAUGACAAAUGGUUCGGGAUAAUUUGAACUUAGAUUACUCUAUUGAUAAUAGUGGUAUGUUAUACCAUCGUAAUAGAAUUUGUGUCCCGAAUAAUCUAGAAUUGAAGAAGGAUAUCUUAUCAGAGGCUCAUAGUAGUAUGUACUCGAUUCAUCCGGGUAGUACGAAGAUGUAUUGUGAUUUGAAAAAUAUGUAUUGGUGGCCUGGUAUGAAAUGGGAAAUUUGUGAAUUUGUGGCAAAAUGUUUAAUCUGUCAACAGGUAAAAGCUGAACAUCAAGUGCCUACAGGUUUGUUACAACCCGUAAUGAUUCCAGAAUGGAAGUGGGAACAUGUGACGAUGGAUUUUGUAUCUGGAUUGCCAGUGACUCCGAAGAAAAAAGAUUCGAUUUGGGUGAUAGUAGACAGAUUCACUAAAUCGGCGCAUUUUAUUCCGGUCAGAACAGAUUUUUCACUUGAUAAGUUAGCGGAAUUAUAUGUGUCAGAAAUUGUGAGAUUACAUGGGGUGCCGACAUCAAUUAUUUCUGAUCGAGAUCCGAGGUUUACUUCGAGAUUUUGGAAUAAACUACAGGAAGCUUUAAGUACUAAGUUAAAAUUUAGUACAGCUUUUCACCCUCAGACAGAUGGACAAUCAGAGCGAGUGAUUCAGAUUUUGGAAGAUAUGUUAAGGUGUUGUAUACUCGAGUUCAGUGGCAGCUGGGAAAGGUACUUACCUUUAGCUGAAUUUGCUUAUAAUAACAGUUAUCAAGCUAGUAUCAAAAUGGCACCGUUUGAAGCUCCGUAUGGAAGGAAGUGCAGAACCCCGUUGUAUUGGUCAGAAUUAAGUGAAUCGAAAUUAGUCGGAGUGGAUUUAAUUCGGGAAACUGAAGAGAAAGUUCAGAUUAUUCGGGAAAGUUUGAAAGCUGCUUCCGAUCGUCAAAAGUCGUAUGCAGAUUUGAAAAGAAGAGAUAUAGAGUUCAAUGUGGGUGAUCGUGUGUUCUUGAAAGUUUCUUCGUGGAAAAAAAAGUUUUACGGUUUGGUAGAAAAGGAAAGCUUAGUCCACGAUUUAUCGGACCAUACAAAAUCAUUGAGAGGAUCGGUCCGGUAGAUUAUAGAUUGGCCUUGCCUCCAGAACUUGAGAAGAUCCAUAAUGUAUUUCAUGUAUCUAUUUUGAGACGAUAUAGAUCAGACCCUUCACAUGUGAUUCCUCAUACUGAGAUAGAGCUACAAUCAGAUAUGACUUAUUCGGAGGAACUAGUGAAAAUAUUAGCUCGAGAAGUUAAAGAACUACGGAAUAAACGAGUACCGUUAGUAAAAGUGUUAUGGCAUCGACAUGGAUUGGAGGAGGCAACCUGGGAAACAGAGGAGUCAAUGAGAUCACAGUAUCCAAAUCUGUUUUCAGGUAACAAAUUUCGAGGACGAAAUUUUUAAAGGGGGGAGAGUUGUAACGGCCUAAUUUUCAGUGGUGUCGGAAAUGGUGAUUUGAGAUCACUAAAUUCGACAAAUAAUAUUGAACAAGAUAGUAAUUUAAUAUUUAUGAGUCAAAUAAGAAUUUAGAAGAAUUUGUGAAAUGGUGAAAUUAGUGAAUUAAAAGAAUUUAUUAGGUCAAACGGGUUAAAAAUGAGGUAUCGAGACCUAAAAGUUGAAAAUCGAGCUAUAAAUAUUUUUAUAAAUAUUUAUGGAGUGUCAUUGAGUUAGUAUUAAAGUUUCGUUAGAAAAUUUUAACGUUUGGAUGGCUAAUUAAUUAAAAAGGACUAAAUUGCAAAUAGCGCAAAAUUUGUUAAAUUGUGAGUAAAUAGCUUAAGUAUUUAAAAAGAUGGAUUUAAAGAGCAAUUAGACCCAAAGGUUAAUGGCUGGACGGUUUGGGUAUGAAAUAAGCAAGAAAACAAUGUGAACAAGGGGCAAAAUUGGAAAUAGCAUAAAAGUUAAUAGUUAAAUAAUGAUGUAAUUGAAAAAUCUAGACAUUUCUUCAUAUUUUCUCAGCCAAAACGCCAUAGAAGGUCUGGAGAAAGCUGGUUUUUCAUAUUUUUACAUCAUGUGAGUCUAAUUCUUACUUUUCUUGAUAAUUUUUAUGUUUUUAUGACUUUUACAAUUAGGUCCACUUGUAGAAUUCAUUAGUUUUUGAUUUUAUGGGUGAAAUUGGAAGUUACCCUGGAUGUAUAAGGGAAUUUUAUGAUGAAUUAUUAUGAAAUUUAAGUUCUAAUUUCAUAUUAAGGUGAUUUUAUUAAGUGAUUUUGAUAGGAAAUGAUAUUUAGGACCUAAUUGUGAAAAAGUUGUGAAUUGAAGGUUUCUGUUGAAAUUAAGAAUAUAAAAGGUUUUGAAAUAGUUUAUAAUGAUAAAAUAAAGUGUUAAUUGAGAAAAAUUAGUUCAAUUGAUGGGUGAAUUGAGCAGUGACUAAAUUGUGAAAACUGUAAAUUUGGGGGUAAAAGUGCAAUUUUAAAAUUUGAACAGCAUAAAUUGUGAAGUGAAAUAGAAUUGAAAUGGAUGCUAAUGAAGGAAUGAUUUUAUAAUUAUAGAUCAAGAAAACGAACUGAAUCGUGGAAAGGAGAAAAUUCAAGAAUAGUCCCUGAAUUUCUACGACUUUUGCAAAUUAGUCCAGGUAAGUUCAUAUGGCAAAGUUCAAUGUUUUGAUAUGAAAAUCUUAUGAUUGUUAAAGUAUUUUAUUGUUGAUGAAUACUAUCAAUUUGCAUUAACUAAUGAAUAAUGUGUAACUAAAAGUACAAAUUAGUAGGAACAAUGGAUUUGAGUGCUUCUAUUCUGUGACCCUGAUGAAUUGACGAAAAAUAUGUGAUAAGUGUGCCCGUUUAAGACCAUAGCUGGGCUAUGGCAUCGGUGCAAUGUGAUAAUGUGACUCCGUAUAAGACCAUAGCUGGGCUAUGGCAUCGGUAUAAUGUGAUAAUGUGAUUCCGUAUAAGACCAUGUCUGGGAUAUGGCUUCGGUAUGAUAUGUGAACCGUGUAAGACUAUGGCAAGGCUAUGGCUUCGGUGUGUGAUGCGUAACAAUGUGAAAGUCCAUAGUUUACUAUGGCAAUGUGAUAAUGAAGCACUCAAUUCCCUUAUUGUUCCCUAAUUUGACAAUGAAGUAAAUGAGAAAUGGGCCUAAGGGAGUUAAAUUGUGAGUAGCCAUAUGGAAAUUAUUCCAAUGAGUUAUUAAUGAAAUUGUGAUUUGGAGGAUGAAAUAGUUAAACUAAUAGAUAUAUGAUUGUGUACGAUAUUUGAUAUGAUUUGUAUUUAUAUGCCUAUGAGCUUACUAAGCUUCAAUAAGCUUACUUGUGUGUGUUUAAUAUUUUUAUGUAGAUUGACUUGAAGUGAAGUGGGUAGAUCGGAUCAACACAACAGGGCACACUAUUCAGAUCAAUUCUGGUAGUUUUGUUUUAUGUUUAAAGAUUUAUAUGGCAUGUAUAGAGUUUGAAUGAAUUGAAGUAAAGAUGUUAUGAACUAGUUAACAAUAUUUGUACUAAAACAGUUUUUGGUAAGUAGCAGUAGUUUGACUUUGAAAAUUCACCAUAAAUUGUGGAAAUUGAGUUAAGGGCUGGAAAAAAAAUGAGAUUAAAGCCUAAUGAGUCUAGUUUCAUAUAGAGGAAACGGUGCAUGCAAUUGGAUUUUAUGUUAUGAGAUAUUUAAAUUGUGGUGAGACAGAGUCUGAAUGACUUCGAGUUCCCCUGUUCUGAUUUUAGAAAAUCAUUAAAAAUUGCAAAAAAAAUAAUUAUGAGUCAUACUAUAUAUGUAUGGAUUCCUCAUUGGGUCUAUUUUUAAGAGAAACAAACGGCAUGGUUAUUUGAAUUUUGUACAGAGAGAAAUUUGGUUCGUAGUGCACAGGGGUCAAAGUAGCCAAACCCUGAAAUAGGGGAGGAUUUAACUAAUAAACUGUACUAAUUGGACCAACCAAAAAUUAUAAAAAAAAUUGGUAAGUAGAUAUAUGAGUAUAAAUUCGGGGAAAAUUAUCUAAAUUUGGUUAAGUGCUCAAAUAAGUUUAGUAGUGCCUUGUGCUCGACUCCGGCAACGGUCUUGGGUAAGGGGCGUUACAGAUCUUCUCUGUUCCUCUCAGCGAAGAUCAGAUUUGUAGUUUUCAAUUUUGCUACACUGUCCACUGGGGAAUCUGUCUGUAGAAUUGAUUUCCUAGGGUAUGUUUAUGUCAAAUGAUUAGGAUGUCAUGAUCAAUAUAAAUCAAAUGCUCCUAACUAAAUGUAUUAUGACUGACAUUUGUAUGAAUGCAAAAUGUCAUGAGAAUGAUCCCUUUUUACAUGUUUGGCCUGACAUUACUCAUUGUCUGUUAAGGCUAUUGCUUCACUGACAUGGGUCUUCUCGUUCAGCUGAUACUUUUCGAUAGAGAACUCGUAGAAACAAACCCAUUUUUUCGACUGGUUUAUCCCACUAUAACUUCAAGGUUCAGUCCACCGUGCUUCUGGCUUGCACCAUUUUCAAACUCUCCCACUGCAACUCAGGGGAAUAUAAUCUGAUUCCUCUUCAACCAUUCCCCUCGUAAUCCAAGGGUAUAAGAUCUGAACCUUCCUCCAUUAAUUUGAUCUGUCACACCAUUUCUUGGGUGUCAUGAUCAGAUGUGUAUGCCUGAUAUUUGCAUGGAUGCUGAAUAUCAUUUUUCUCUCGAGAAUAAGCCCCAUUUUCAAAAUUGGGUUGACAUUGCUCGUUAUUCGUCGAGGUACCUCUGACAAACAAAAUCCCGAGAAGUGUACUAACUUAGACCCCUCUUUUCAACAUUUCCCGCACUUAGGCUUGGGGAGUUCUGAACAAUAGUCCUGUUUCCAGUUCUUGUAACAUUAGAAGCUUCCAAAGUAAUAUACAAAACCUUUUUUGAGAGAGUAUUAUUAGUCUAUUAAUCGUCAUUUCAAUGCAAAAAAAAUGCUCGAAAGAAAAAAUAAUAUGCUAACAGAAAAUUGUUUAGGAACAUAGCUCAAAAAACGUUAAUCCAAUAUGGCAAAUAUCAUAAGAAGAAAAUUUAUUGAGAUCAUAUCUCAGGAAAAAUAGAGUCAAAAAUAAAUACAAUAUGGGUAAGAUAUGAAACUAGGUGCCCUAGAUAUCACAGUCUGAGCUUCUCUGUACGAACACCUUGAGGCCUAUUUUGAACUCAGCAUGUGUCUAGGAGAUCUAGGGUACUUUGUCGAUGCCCCAAGAUGUAGCAUACCUCUUCUCUGUCAAUUCAGGCAUAGCAAGAAUACUAUCUGCCCUUACCUUCGAUCAAAAUUUGAAUUGCCCUUUUCGGGUUUUCAACUCAAAACCCCAUUGGUCACAGGGUGCCCUUUGCGGGUUUUCACCUUCGCCUCUCCCCAUUUUUUUUUCAAGCGAAGUACUUCUCAAUUGAAUCUGCAUUGACUGGGUUAGGUAAGUUCCCGCCAUCCAUCUCAGCUAAUAUCAACGCUCCUCUAGAAAAGACCUUUUUUACCACAUACGGUCCCUCCCAGUUUGGCAUCCAUUUCCCUCUAAAAUCCUUUUGUAUAGGAAGGAUCUUUUUUAACACCAAGUCCCCUUCAUGGAACACUCUAGGGCGAACCUUCUUAUUGUAAGCUCGCAUCAUUCGCUUCUGAUACACUUGUCCAUGAUGUAUGGAUUUUAGCCUCUUUUCCUCGAUCAAAUUCAACUGAUCAUAUCUGGAUUGGACCCAUUCUGCUUCAUGCAAUUUUAAUUCUGACAACACUCGGAGGGAGGGGAUUUCAACUUCCAUAAACCAAUGAAAAAGGCGUUGCCCCAGUAGAAGUUCUGACAGAUGUACGAUAAGUAAAAAGAGCAAAUGGUAAUUUUUCAUGCCAAUCCCGAUAAGUCUCAACCAUUUUCCCCAUAAUCUUCUUUAUAUUUUUAUUAGCCACCUCAACUGCACCAUUCAUCUUCGGGCAAUAUGGCGAUGAGUUAUGAUGCUUAAUUUUGAACUAACUGCAGACCCCUGCUAUCAUGCUAUUAUUCAAAUUCAACGUGUUUUUUGAUAUGAUCCUUUCUGGCAUGCCAUAUCGACAUAUAAUCUCCUUCUUUAAGAACCUGCUGACUGCUGACUUCGUGACAUUGGUGUAUGAAGCAGCCUCUACCGAUUUGGUGAAAUAAUCAAUGACCACAAAAAUGAAUCGAUAACCGUUAGAGGCUUUUGGCGAAAUUGGCCCAAUGACAUCCAUGCCCCACAUUGAAAAAGGCCAUGGGGAAGUCAUAACAUGAAGCGGGGAAGGAGGCACAUGGAUCUUAUCUGUAACGCCCCUAACUCGAAUCCGUCACCGGAAUAGAGUUACGGAGCAUUACCGGAGUUACCGAUUCAUUUAUCAGAUAUUUCAUUAAUCUGAUAUCUUUUCUUUUCCACGUUCAAGUCUCGUAUUCAAGUUAUCCAGAUCUUUAUAAAGAAAUUUGAUCAUUGUUUUCAUUUAUUUCAUGUUAUAAUACAUUCAACUAAUGCUCUAAACAAAAUUAUCAUUUUACCCCUAAACUUUUAAUUAAUGACGAUUUCAUCCUUAGGUUAAAAUAAAAUAAAAUUAUUGCAAUUUAAUCCUUAUUUCCAGCUGUUAUUCUCACACAAAUUGAUAACAACCUAUGAAUUCUAUAAAAUGUCAGAAUUUUCCAUAAUUUCAACACUUUUCAAUUUAAUCCUUAAAACAUGUUUUUCCCUGAUCUUGAGCUGAAUUAAUAAUUUCGUUCAAUUUUGUAAUUUAAAUAAUAAAAUAAUCCAUUUCAUGCAAGUUGGUCAUUUUUAACAUUUUUUUACAAAAUUGCCCAUAAAAUUUUACUUUUAUUCAAUUUAGUCCAUGAGCCUAAAACAUACAAAUUACCAAUGCUAGCUGAAUAUUCAUACAUAUUUUCCUCCUCCUCCUCUCCAUUCCACAUCCUUAAUAUAUAUAACAUGCAACAAGUAACAUUAUCAAUAAUUUCACUAUUUACUUAUGUAUAUUCAAAACUGUCCAUUUGCGUCAUAGUGACUAAAUUAUUUAUAUCUUAAGCUACAGAACUCGAAAUUAAGAUCCGCUAAUUUUCCCUGAAACUAGACUUACUUAUCUUAUUACCAUAAAAUUUUUAGACCCUUCUUCACUAAGAAUUAAUUAUCUCAUCGUACGAGAUUUGGAUGAUAUUCCCGCUUAUUUCUAUUGAAAAUAGACUCUUUAAGGAUUUUAAACAUAAAAAUUUAAACCCUUAAUUAUUUGUCUCCAAUUUUUGAUGAUUUUCUAAAGUUAGAAUAGGGGAACCCGAAAUCAUUCUGAUAUUAUCUCACAAAACUUAUUAUAUCUCAUGAUUUACAAUUCCAUUGCUUACACCGUUUCUUCUAUAAGAAACUAGACUAAUAAGCUUUAAUUUCAUAUUUUAUUCAUCCUCUAAUUAGAUUUCUACAAUUUUUGGAGAUUUUUCAAAGUUAGACUAUUGCUGCUGUCCAAAACUGUUUUUGUGCAAAAUGUUGAUUUUCAUUCUGCCCCAAAUUUCACAGUUCAUACAAUUCAGUCCUUACUUAAUUAACCCCUCAAUUAAACUAAUUUUCUCAAUUAAUACUUUUCCUAGACAUUAUAAGUUAUUUCAUAACUAUCGAAAUUCAGAAUUUCUACAUAAAACUCUAACUUCAAACUCUUUUACAAUUUAGGUCCCAAACAUUCACUUUCUAUUCAAUUCUUUCAAUAAAAUCAUCAUAUAAACAAUUUAAAGCUCUAAUUCUAUGUCAAAUCAUCAUAUACUUCCAGAACAUAUUCAUAGAAACUUUCAAUUUCUUUCAUAGAAUCAAGAACUAAUGAAUUCAACAAAUGGACCUAGUUGUAAAAGUCACAAAAACACAAAAAUUUCAAGAAAUAAUCAAGAAUUGAACUUACUUGCAGUAAAAAUAUGAAAAAACAGCUUAAGGGAACUCUUCCAUGGUGUUUUUUCUGAUGAGAAUGCAGAAAAAUAAAGAGAAAUCUAGAUAAUUCCACUUUAAUCCUAGCUUUAUUAAGUAAAUUUUGCAAUUUUCCAAUUUUUCCCUUAAUUCCCCUUAUUUUCUUGGUGAUUUCAUGCUCUUGCCAUCCAACCCAAAUAGACCUUGGGUCUAUUUGCCUUUUAAACCCUCUUUCUUUUAUCAUUUAAGCUAUUUAAUCAUUUCCCACAAUUUUGCAUUUGAUAUAAUUUAGUCCUUUUUGUUCAAUUAGCUAUCAGUACUUUAAAAUUUCUUGACGAAACUUUAAUACUAACUUAUUAACACUCCAUAAAUAUUUAUAAAAAUAUUUAUGGCUCGAUUUAAAAUUUUCAAGGUCUCGAUACCUCAUUUUCAAUUUUAAUUAUUUUAAUAUAUAUAUUUUUUAGUACAUUUCACUGUUUCAAAAUUUUUCCUAACUUCACAUUUAACUUAUACUCACUAAAUUAAUAAUAUUUCCUACUCAUUUUUCGGAUUUAGUGAUCUCGAAUCACUGUUCCGACACCACUGAAAAUUAGGCUGUUACAUUAUCCCCAUAAAUUUGGUACUUAUGGCACUUCUUGGCGUAACUGAUGCAAUCUCCCUCCAUCGUAGACCAGUAGGACCCAAAUCUCAUGAUCUGCCUAGCCAUUGUAAACCCAUUGGCGUGCGUUCCACAAACACCUUCAUGGACUUCUUCCAGGAUUUUCUUCGCUUCCACAGCGUCAACGCACCUUAACAGUAUCUGAUCCUUCCUCUUUUUAUACAGGAUCUCUCCGUCUAAGAUAUAGUCAUUAGCGAGCCUUCUCAACAUUCUCUUGUCAUUUUCAGUGGCUUGAUCGGGGUAUUCAUGAUUCUUCACAUAUCGCAGAAUGUCAUGAUACCAAGAAUGGUUAUCUCUCUCCUCUUCUUCGUCUAUAUUGCAGCAAUGAGUUGGAGCAUCACAAAUACUCAUCUGAAUUGGCUUCAUAUCACCUUGUUUAUUUAUUCUGAUCGUAGAAGCUAAUGUAGCCAGGGCAUCGGCCAUCUGAUUUUCAUCACGCGGGAGAUAAAAGAAAGUGACGUCAUCAAACUGCUCAAUUAAUUCCAAAACUAACUUUCGAUAAUUGAUAAGUUUGGGAUCUCUCGUCUCCCAUUCCCCUUUGAACUGAUAGAUCACCAAUGCAGAGUCUCCAUAUACCUCUAGCACCUUGAUUUUACGAUCUAUGGCCUCACGAAUUCCCAUGAUACAUGCCUCAUACUUUUCCAUAUUAUUUGUGCAGUCAAAAUCCAACUUGCAAGUAAACGGAUAAUGAUCUCCAUUCGGGGAUAUCAGAACUGCCCCAAUUCCAUUACCAACGUCAUUUGAUGCUCCAUAAAAAUUCAGUUUCCAAAAAGAAUUUUCGGAUGUGUCUUCCUCGGUAGUUGCCACAUACAUUAAAUCUUCAUUGGGAAAAUUAAGGUUCAGAGGCUCAUAAUCUUUUAAGGCUCUACUGGCCAGAAAAUCUGCUAUGACACUUCCUUUAAUGGCCUUCUAGUUCAUGUAGACUAUGUCAAACUCAGAAAGCAGAAUUUUCCAUCGGGCCAUCCUUCCACUCAACGCAGUUGAUUCCAUCAUGUACUUUAAAGGAUCUAGCUUCGAAAUUAACCACGUCGUAUGGUACAACAUGUACUGCCUUAAUCUCCGAGUGGUCCAAACCAAAACGCAACAUAAAUUUUCAAUUGACGAAUAUCUCAUUUCACACUCAGUGAAUUUUUUACUGAGGUAAUAUAUAGCCUUUUCCUUCCUUCCGGUCUCAUCAUGUUGGCCAAGCACACAUCCCAUUAAUUGUCAAAUACUGUUAAAUACAAUAUUAAUGGCCUAUCAGGACUAGGCGGUGUCAACACUGGAGGGUUGGACAAAUAAUGUUUAACUUUGUCAGAAGCUUUUUGGCACUCAUCAUCCCAUAUACCUGGAUUGUGUUUCUUAAGGAGACGAAAUAUGGGGUCACAUUUCUCUGUUAGUUGUGAAAUAAACCGGGCAAUGUAGUUUAAUCUUCCUAGGAAACCACGAACUUCUUUUUGAGUACGGGGUGGAGGCAGUUCUUGUAUAGCUCUGACUUUGUCCGGGUUAACUAUAAUUCCUUUUUCACUGACAACGAAACCCAGUAAUUUUCCUGACCUGGCUCCAAAAGUACAUUAUGUCGGAUUGAGUUUAAGUUGAAAUUUCCUCAACCUCAGAAAUAACCUCUUUAAGACUUGUAAGUGCUCAUUUUCUGUUCGAGACUUUGCGAUCAUGUCGUCAACGUAAACCUCAAUCUAUUUAUGCAUCAUGUCAUGAAAGAGGGUUACCAUAGCCCUUUGAUGCGUUGCUCCUGCGUUCUUCAAAAAGUUUCCCACAGGGUUAUGAACGUAAUCUUUUCCAUGUUUUCAGGAUGCAUCUUAAUCUGAUUAUACCCCGAGAAUCCAUCCAUAAAAGAGAAUAGUGAGUAGCCUGUCGUAUUAUCUACUAGGGUAUCAAUGUGAGGCAAGGGGAAGACUAGCUUUGUUUAGAUCUCUGUAAUCCACACACAUCCGCACUUUUUCAUCUUUUUUAGGGACGGGGAUAACAUUAGCUACCCAUUCUGGGUAAUUAACCGCUCGUAAGAAGCCAGCAUCAAAUUGCUUCUUGACCUCUUCCCUUAUUUUCACUGCCACAUCGGUUCUCAUCCUUCGGAGCUUCUGCUGUACGGGCUUACACUCCUCCUUUGUAGGGAUACGGUGUACUGCAAUAUCGGGGUUUAAACUUGGCAUAUCUUGAUACGUCCAUGCAAAGACAUCUUUGAACUCUCGUAAUAAUUCGAUAAGGUCUUGUCUUAUUUUCUCAUUAAUGCAAGUGCCAAUUUUCACCUCCUUUCCUUCUUCCAAGGACACGCUCUCAAUUGUCUCCUAGUGAGGCUGAAUCUGUUUCUCUUCCCGUUCUACCAUCCUCAACAAGUCUGGAGAUAAACUAUAAUCCUCGCCAUCUUCAAAAUCCUGAGAUCCCUCUAAGCACAAACCUUGCUAUAAAAGAGAUUCAGGGUCCAUAUCUGGGAACCUGUUGCAAAUAUGAAAGAAUGUCCAAAAAUGAAUCUAAGAAUAGCUUAUUUGUAACAUGACAAUGAAUGAAAAAUAGAACAAGAUAUUUGCUCAAAGAGUGAUGAAAAUGCAUUUCUCUAUUGAAAUAACGAUGUUUAAACAUGAGCCCAUUUCACAAAAGAUUAUUAUUGCUCUAGGCCGAAACAAUAAGUAUGUUCUGAACAUUACUUUGAAUUUCUCAAAAAAUUACAGGAAUCUCUUCUGCAGUCCAAUUGUUCAGCACACUUCCAGGCACAUAAGGGUGAAUUCCCAGUAAGUUUCCUUCUUCCACUUCUUCUCCAAGUAUAGCAUUAAUGCUCAGGCUAUCGAACAUGUCUUCAAAAUAUUCUUCCCUUGUCAUCCCGCUCUCUAGAUAAAUCAUUCCUCCUGACACAAAAGUUUCAGAUAUGUGGGGAAAGCUCAUCGGCUCCCAUUUGAUUUCUGCCCCACUUAAACGUGCUCUUCGUCUCUCUUGUCUCUUCUCUGCUUCCUUCCUUUUUUGUUUUGCAUCUGACUUAUAUCCCAAGCCAAAGUAAUCCCGCUUAUCAGUCAAGACUGGUACCUCGACCAGUCCAUGCAGAUACUUUCCGAAUCCUCUUCUAAGUAAUGCUCCACUUCCAACCAUCAAUUGUAAACCCAUUUUCGUAGCACUAGACACUUUGGGUAUCAGGAUCUUACUUCUCUCCAUACUAAAAGUGGCAUUCACAAACUCCAAUGAACGAAAAGAACACUCCAACGCCUCAUCAUCCUUCUCAAUGUAUGGUGCAUCACUGGUAACAGAUGCAAUAAUGUCCUCUUCCGCGUUAUUGUUAUCAAUCGACCUUCUAUUAUCAACUUCAACUUUUAAUGCAAUGAUGACGGUACUACCCCUACCGCAUGAAUCCAAGGCCUCUCUAAAAGGCAAUUAUAGGAGGGCUUAAUGUCCAUCACUAGGAAAUCUACCUCAUAUGUAUUUGGACCAAUUAAAAGAGGUACUUCGAUCCUUCCUAUCACCUUUCUUUCAGUCUCGUCAAAUGCUAUCACCAUGUUCUGACACGUCUUCAUGUAAGAGAUGUUUAUUGGUAGCUUAUUCAAUGUAGAUAAGGGUAAAACAUUUAGUGCUGACCCAUUAUCAAUUAGAACCCCCAGCACAGUAUAUCCCUUACAACGGGUAGUGAUGUGUAAGGCCUUAGUAGAUCCCCUACCCCCCGAUGGUAUUUCAGCGUCGCUGAAUGAGAUGAAAUUGUCUGCGCUUAUAUUAUUGAUAAGGCAGUCUAGCUUUUUACUGUGAUGUCAUUCGCAACAUAGGUCUCAUUUAACACCUUCAUUAACGCGUUACGGUGUAUCUCUGAGCUUAAAAGCAAGGUCAGUACCGAGAUGCGAGCUGGUUGUUUGUGUAGCAGCUCCACGACACUAUAUUCACUGUGUUUUAGGAAUUUCAAAAAUUUCUUUGCCUCAUUCUCAGCUAUUGGCUCCUUAACAGGUAGCUCCUCCAUUUGCUUCAAUAAAUAUUUCCCUUUUACUAAAUCGGCUUUAGUAUGGAAACCUACAUCCUAGGCUUCUCCUUACGUGUUGACCUGGUUCUUCCCUCCCGGGAUUGUCACAUUACAAUUAUAGCUCCAAGGUACCCUCUUGCUAUCCUUAUAAGGGAAAGCAACGGGUUUCUGUAUCACUAUUCUUGGUGCCAUUUUCAAUCCAACUUCAUUAAUCUUUGGCUGUGAAAUAAUUACUCUUGGGCGAUUAAUCUCACAGUCUUUUCUUAACGACCCUCCUUCCGAGGUGCAUACAUCUCUCUCUUCUACAUAUUCAAAGAAUUCCAGCUCUUUGUUGUCCAUAACUUCCUGUAUUAAGACCCUAAAUUCAUCAUAUUCUUGGAUCUCAUGAUCCUCCUCAACAUGAAACUCACAAUAGUUCCCUAUUUUCUGGGGUCUGUUUCCCGAACUCUGCCUGAUUAACCCCCUCUUCAUUAUUUCCUUCCAAACCUCUCUCAAUGGUGUUCUUACUUCAGCCACAGUCAUUCUAACUCUCUUCCCGGUAUUCUCAAUUACUGCAUUUACCUCCUUGUCAGCAUGAUUGGGUAACAAAUUUUCCCCACCAAAUGACUCAUCGAAUUUUAUGAUGCCCAUUUCAAGGAACUUUUCCACUAACCUCUUAAAUGCGGUGUAAUUUUCUAUCGCAUGUCCUGUGAUUCCCGCAUGGUAUUUGCAUUGGACAUUUUCGUUGUACCACUUGGGAUACGGAGGUUGCAUCGGUUUCAGGUAAACCGGGGAUACAACAUGUGCAUUAAAUAAAGUUUGAUAUGACUCCUUAUACGUUACUGGAAUGGAUGUAAACUGGAGUUUCUCCGUAUUCCGCUUUGUAUCAGACUCUUGCUUUGAUGAGACUUGCUGACUCGCGUUUACUAUUCUCGGUUGAUUCACAGUGAUCGAUUUUGCAUAACUUCUACUUACAUUGUUUACUUCAUUUUCUCUCUUUUGUGGGACCGACUUCUUGGUGCUCUCCCCAGCUUCUAUCUUUCCGCACCUUAUUGCAUUUUCUAUCAUCUCACCGGAUAUUACUAUAUCCGAAAAGCUCUUGGUUGCGCCUCCUAGCAAGUGAUUGAUGAAAGGUGCUUUCAAGGUAUUGAUAAACAACAAGGUCGUUUCCUUCUCAAGCAGUGGCAGUUGAACCUGUGUAGCGAUUUCUCUCAAUCUCUGGGCAUAUUGCCUAAAACUUUCGUUCGGCUUCUUUUCCAUACUUUGUAAAGUGAUUCUAUUAGGCGCUAUAUCUGUCACGUGGCCAUAUUUCUUCAUAAAAGCUUGUGCCAAGUCUUUCCAUGAACUAAUUUGGCCUCGAUUCAACUGGUUAUACCAUUUGGCCGCUACCCCAAUUAGGCUAUCUUGGAAGCAGUGGAUUAAUAACUGAUCAUUAUGGAUAUAUCCUGUCAUCCUUCGACAGAACAUUGUAAUGUGAGCCUCAGGACAACUGGUCCCGUUGUAUUUCUCAAACUCCGGCAUCUUGAACUUUGGAGGAAAUACUAGGUCUGGGACCAGGCUCAGAUCCUUAGCAUCAAUCCCACCAUGAUAAUCAGCAUUCUCCAACGCUUUGAACUUCUCCUCAAGCCACUUGCAACGAUCCUCUAGCUGCUUUGGGAUCUCCAUUCUCGCCUUUUCCACUUCUACUGCCUCAUCGAAAUCGGGGACCGUAGGAUUCGCCAAACUAUCCUCGGGGUUAGAACUUGAGCCUAUUGGGAAAUUCAUCGGGGCUGAAGUACCAGUUUGACACGGAGGUUUAAUGUUAACAGAUACCCUAGGUUGUGGCAUUUGAAUGCCCGCCGGGGUAAAGCCUGGGGGAACAGAAGGGUCCUCAUCAUCGUUUCCAGUACCAAUCAUAGGACUCUUUCCUUUAUUCGAAGCUCCAGCCAAUAUUUGUGCAAAUUGGUUUAUCAUGUUUUUCUGGGAUUCUAACAUCUGAUCUGUCAUAUCUUGUUGUAUUUUGGCUAACUGCUCUUGCAUCUGAAUGCAGUUGCUCUUGCAUUUCCUUCUGCAUCUGUUCCAAUUUCUCUAAUCUUUGGUCCAUGGCUCUCGUUUUCCUUCGCGUAUUAUAGUGGUGCUUAAUCGGUGAACUUUCACGGUUUUUCAGAUUAACUAAAAUAAAUUUUAAUCAAUUAGAGAUCUUUUUAUGAAAGCUAAUGCAUAUGAUAUGAUGUAAAUGCAAAUGCAUGAGAUGAAUGCAAAAAGAAGACGUCGAUUCUGAUUCGAUUCGGAUUCAAUUACAUUUAGAAAACUUUACUUCAAAAAACAAAAUCCCUUACAUAAAACGGAUUACAUAUAUGGCUUAGCCCUAAUGCUCAAAGUCUUCACUUUCCUAAGAAGGGAGGCUAACUCCUACCCUCGUUCUGACGCUAACUCAUAUUUGGCACUCAGCACAUCUGCCUGAACUGCCAGAGUCUGUAAGUAAUCAGCCACUUCUCGUAUUUAGAUUAUAGCUUCGCCCAUGAGGUAAUCUCUAUCCCGGACCUGAUCUUGAGAUCGAUGAAGUUGCUUGCUUAACUGACACUUAUUUGCUUUCAGUCGUUCAAUUCGGAGCACACAAUUCUAAAGUGUAGACUCCAGUUCUUCUACUUUUCCUUUCAAAUCCUCGAUCCUACUUAAGCUGGCCUUUAAUUCAAUCACCGAGUUUCGACUCUGAUGCUGGUGUAGUGCCUUCUCUAACUCAGCUACCCGGGCCCUUAACAUUUCCUUUUCAUUUUGACUAUCAUCCAAGCUUUUCUCUAACCCAACCUCUCGUGCCUUAGUAUCAUGGAACUUCUUCUUCCACUGAUCAGUUUUAGCUUUUUCUUCUUGGAUUUCUUGCAUCCACUGUUCAGACGUUUUACCUAAACCAGCGUUCUUCACUGAUGCACGAUAUCUCUUGUAAUAUUCCUUCAAGCUAGCAAGGUCCUCUUCAACUUUUCUCUUUCCUUUUCUCAAAUUCUCGGCCUCCGACUUUUGAACAUCCACAUCCAGCUUCAAGUACAAUUUUUCCACUUCCAACUGUUCUAUUUUCUUUUCUAACUCCGAACUUUUCUUUUCAAAGUCUUGCUUUAUAAUUUCCAACUCAGAGGGGACCACUCGUAGAUAUUCCUCUAUCGGUCGAGCAUCUUCUAGAUUUGGCCUCAGAAUGUUAUCAUUAACCUUUCUUCUUCGCCAUUCAUUAUACCCAGGGGUCACCAUCGGGUUUACAGUAACUCCUUCCAUCCGGUAGGUUCGGUUUCAAGCAUUACAAAUCUCUCUAACCUUUUUCUUGUAAUUAUCCCCUUUAUAACAAAACUCGCUCUGAGCCAGCCCCUGUGUUGCAGGUAUGAAUUGCCUCGACCUGUAUUGCCUCGAUACAAGAAAAAAGGCAUAACCAAUGCCUCCCAAAAUCCCUAACAAAGGAACCUAAUCAUAAUCUCCACACCGGAAAAGAAUCUCACCGGGAACCAUCCAAGGAGCUCUCCACUCAAUAUCAUCCUCUUGGAGAUUUUGAAGUAUUGCCAUCCAUCUCUCCUAUGAUAUAUCGUCCCUCCUCGGCGUAGCUGCUAUUUCCUUCAAACGAGAGAAAUUUCGGAGGAAGGGUUGAUAAGAGACCUUCUCCAUCUUCCAGAAGUGGCUAUUGAACCAAACUAAUAAAAGCUGUGCACAUCCAAUAAAUCUGCCUUCGCUUGCUCUUCGGCAUGCUUUCAAAGAUCUGAAAGUCUCAGCUAAUAUUGCAGGAACAUGUGUGAUCCCUUUACCAAGUUGGUCAAAUAAAUUGGUAACUGCUUCGUCUAUAUGCCUUAAAGCCUUAGGGAAAACCACCAACCCAUAAACACUCAAAGCAAAGACGUCGACUCUUCUCUUCAUAUCAGGAUGCGUCAGAAUCAGCUCUCUCAAACUUACCCAAGGGAUACACUUCCCAUCACCCUUCUGCUGGACUUGAGCCACAACCCACUGCUCACUUAUCCCAGUAAUAUUUAUCAAUCUCUUGACGAAGGUUGGGACAUUGCCGAUUCUAGAAUAAAUCUUGUCGGUUUGAAACUUCAGACAUCUAAGCAAAGUCGUAUAUUCUUCUAUAGUAGGCGUUAAAUCCAUAUUUCCGAAAGUAAAACAGCUGUAAGUAGAAUUCUAGAAUUGAGCUACGGCUUGGAACAAAUACUUAUCUACCUUAAUAUCAAGAAGAUAAGACAUAUCACCAUAAUUAUAAUAGAAUAACUGCUUCAUCUCACCAUCCCAAUGAAUCCACAUCUCUUUCAGCCCCCUAAGAUCAUUCUGUGCCACACUAAUACGGGUAAAGUCCCAUAACUUCGAUGUAUACCCUUCCACCAAACUGUCACCCUUCUCUAAUUGUGUGUUCUCUGACCAUUUCUGGGUAAACGCAUUAUACUCCACUUUAUUAGAGAAUUCGCUUUCCAUGGCAAAACUUUCUAUUUAGUAACUGAACCAUAAAUCGACACCUUCUUUUAUGGUGAAAAUGAUAUGCAAUCAUUGUUAAAGAAAAAAUAAAAGUAAAUCAGAAUCAAAAAUAAAAAUCAAAGCAAUCAAGCACCUACUUCGGUAACCACUAGGUCUCGGUGUAGUUCUACUUAAGGCAAGCUCCUAAGACGUGCUAUAUGUGGGUUGGUUCUAGAGUAAAGGUACCUGAACCCGCAGAUUCCUCGAUCAUCACUCGUUAUAGGCUCAUACGGACCAAGUUCAGUUCAGGGAAAUACAUUUCCCUAUGACCAUGCGGAGGUGAAAACCUCACGAAGACAUAGGUACAGAUGUAUCCCAGAAGCGAUCCCCUAGCCCAUGCGGAGGUGAAAACCUCACGAAGGCAUAGUUUCUCACUCCCACUUAAGAGAUGCACCCACAACGGUCAUGCAAUAUGAUGCGAAAACAUAUUAAAAAGUAAAUUCAACAAGGACACAGAAGAUGCAAUGUAAAGAUAGUAGAUUUUUAGAAAACCAAAUUUCAAAUUUCGACAAGAAAACAGAAAAUAUCAAUUUACAGCUCGACUCUCUUAUUGUUCCCCAGCGGAGUCGCCAAGCUGUCGAAACCAUUUUUUUAGAAACAGGGAUCGACUUUCAAAAAACAAAAAUUUGGAGUUGCCACCAAUCUUUUUUGUGGUGUGAUUGGGCCACCUUAUAAAACAUUUUGGUCUACAAUUUUUUGUGAAAAAUAGGCUUGGGAGUCAGUUACGUAUGAGGAAGGACUAGCCCCUCCAAUACGCCCAAAAUCGGUACUUUUAUUGAUUAGUUUAUGUCUUAAUGUCGAAAACUAAAGAUUUGAAAAGAUUUUAAAGCACGAUCAUCCUUUUUGAAACAUUUGAGUAAAUUAAACGUGAGUUAAAGACCAUAUCGCUCCAAGGUAAAACGUCACGUCCAGUACGGUAGGACACAACGUUUUUGACCCCCGAUUAUGAGCUUGUCUUUUAUUAAAAAAUUCGUGCACUUUUUUUUAAAAAAAAAGGGUAUUCAGAUAUUUAAAUCAAACGUAAAACCACAAUCCAAAACGGUAGGGCAUGAUUUUUCGAAUUUUUAAAUACAGAACAAUGCCUCCACUUUUCAAAACUUGGAGAAAUUCAAUAAGAAGGAUAUUCGAAUAUUUGAAUCGAACAAAAACCGAAACCCAAUACGGUAGGAUACAAUUUUUUGAGCUUCCAAAUAUCAAAAAUUGCCAUUGUUUAGGAGAAAAUUUAAAGAAGAAAUCGAUUAAGAAGGAUAUUCGAAUACUUAAAUCGAAUAAAAAACGAAACUCAGUACGGUAGGGCACAUUUUUUAAAACGAUUAAGUAUAGAAAAUUGCCUUUAUUAAAAACUAUUUGGGAACAAAAUGUUGAAUAAAAUACUUAAAUCGAAUAAAAAAAAUGAACCCAAUACAGUAGGGCACUUUUUUUUAAAACGAUUAAGUAUAGAAAAUUGUUUUUAUGUUAAAAACAAGUUGAGAAUACAUUAUGGAAUAAAAGAACUAAAACGAUUAAAAUUUGGAGAGGAAAAAAAUUGAUAAAUAAUGAUGGAUGAUAGAAAAAUGACAAUAUGAGAAUCAUGCUAACCGUAUAUUAAUAACAAAAAAAAUAUAGUUUUUAAUAAAUAAUAAAAAAUGGAAACAACAAUAGUCAUAAAUAUGAUAAUAUAAUAAACAUGACAAUAAUAGCAAUAUAUCAAUAGUAUUACUAAAUAUAAUAAUAAUAGUAAAAUUAAAAUAAUAACGAUGCUAAGUUAACAAUAAUGAUAAAUAAUAAAUAAUAAUAAGUAUAAUAAAUUAUAUUUAAAAUAAUUAACUUUUAAUAAAAUAGAUAAAAAAAAUGAAUAUCAUAUAAAGAUAAUUUUAAAAAAAAGUAACCCAAAAUAAUAAUAAUAUACAAUGGUCGUAAAAAAAGAUGAUAAAAAUAAUAUAAUAAGUUAAUGAUAAAUAGCAUUAGAAAGUAAAAAUAAUAUUAAAAAAAAGUAAGGAUAAUAGCAACAAAUAAUAAAGAUAAUAAUAAUUAUAUAUGAAAAAGGUACUCAUAUAAAAAGAUAUAGCAGUGGUAUUUAAUGAUGAUAAAUAAAUAAUUAAGACAAUAAUAAUAUAAAACACCAUAAUAAUGGAAACCAUUUUAAUUAUUAAAAUAAUCAUAAUGAAACAUAAAUACGGGAAUAUUGAAUUAAUUAGCAUAAUAAAUAAGGAAUAAAAGUAAAAAAAAAAACCCUUCAACAACAUUUUCCUUUCAUUUUCCUCAAAAACCAUUUGAAAAGCUCUCUAAAUUCUCUUGCCCCAUCCAAUUCUUCAGCAACUGGACCAGAGCUUCAUCCCCAUCCGUUGUUUUACCGCCGUCGUUGGCCACCACGUGCAGUGGCCGAAGUUAAAAAAGUAAGUUUUUUUUUGUAUUUUUAUUCUUUUUAACAGAUAUACAUAGUAAAGAGUGGUCAAAUCCAAAAAAGAAACGAAAAAAAGAAGAAAAAAGAAAAGAAUCAAAACAACAACCUUGGUAACUUUCGAUUCUACAAAAUUGGCUUGUAUGUUUGCUGUCUUCCCGAUUUGUGUGACCGUCUGAGUUCGAUCUCUGCUUUUAUUACUUUUGGGUAUUUAAAAUCUUGGUAUUUGGUGUUAAAUCUUGUGUUUGUAUUGAAUCCAUCUUUUUUUUGCCUUGUUACAAUCUUUGGCUUUUAUAGCCUUUAUUUUUACAGGUACAAAAAUGAAAUUAUGGCGAACAUGGAGCCAUUGGAGCUGACAUGGGCGAGAGGCGACGUAGGGGAAGCCGACGUGGGCGCGCGAACGUGGAGGACAUGCGUGGGAAGGCUUGCGGCGGCUGCAACAGAAAAGGGUGUUAGGGUUUUUCUUUUUUCUUUUUUUAUUUAGGGUUAAAUAUUUAGGUCUAGGAUUAGUUUAGGGCUUGGGUAAUUUGGGCUUCAAAAUUGGGUUAAUUUUAUUUUGUUUUUGAUUUGAUUUUGGGUCUAUUUUUGGUCUUUGAAGUUUGUUUUUGGUUUAAAAAUUUAGGCUUUAAUGGUAAAUAGGCCCGGGCAAAAAUUGGUACCCACAAUUUACAUAAUAAAAAAAUAAGAUUAUUUCAAUUAAUAAAUAAUAAAUUAUUAAUUUUUCAAUCACACAUAUUUUCUUUAAUAUUUUUAUUUUUAAAAAUCUAUAUAUUUUGAAACUAAACACACCUUUAAUAAUUUACAUUCUCAAUCUCCGACAAUAUUCACCUAACCGUAGCUUAUACACAACAUGCUAUUGAUUUUCUUCUUCUAGAAAGAACAUUUUUUGAACAAUAUUUUUUUAAAUAAAAUAUGAACAUUCGCGGUAAUAAACCUAGACAAUUUUUUGG